Molecule: transfer RNA, 66 nt
Filed under: Facciolella oxyrhyncha (Facciola's sorcerer)
Lineage: Eukaryota; Metazoa; Chordata; Actinopteri; Anguilliformes; Nettastomatidae
Description: tRNA-Cys
Rfam family: tRNA
About the family: Transfer RNA (tRNA) molecules are approximately 80 nucleotides in length. Their secondary structure includes four short double-helical elements and three loops (D, anti-codon, and T loops).
Source: RNAcentral
AGCCCAGUGGUGUAUAACAUAUCAAAUUGCAAAUUUGAAGAUGCGGGUAAUUCCUUGCCUGGGCUU